AGAGGUUGAACGGCCACAUUGGGACUGAGACACGGCCCAGACUCCUACGGGAGGCAGCAGUGGGGGAUAUUGCACAAUGGGGGAAACCCUGAUGCAGCGACGCCGCGUGGAGGAAGAAGGUCUUCGGAUUGUAAACUCCUGUUGUUGAGGAAGAUAAUGACGGUACUCAACAAGGAAGUGACGGCUAACUACGUGCCAGCAGCCGCGGUAAAACGUAGGUCACAAGCGUUGUCCGGAAUUACUGGGUGUAAAGGGAGCGCAGGCGGGAAGACAAGUUGGAAGUGAAAUCCAUGGGCUCAACCCAUGAACUGCUUUCAAAACUGUUUUUCUUGAGUAGUGCAGAGGUAGGCGGAAUUCCCGGUGUAGCGGUGGAAUGCGUAGAUAUCGGGAGGAACACCAGUGGCGAAGGCGGCCUACUGGGCACCAACUGACGCUGAGGCUCGAAAGUGUGGGUAGCAAACAGGAUUAGAUACCCUGGUAGUCCACACUGUAAACGAUGAUUACUAGGUGUUGGAGGGUUGACCCCUUCAGUGCCGCAGUUAACACAAUAAGUAAUCCACCUGGGGAGUACGACCGCAAGGUUGAAACUCAAAGGAAUUGACGGGGGCCCGCACAAGCAGUGGAGUAUGUGGUUUAAUUCGACGCAACGCGAAGAACCUUACCAAGUCUUGACAUCCUGCGACGGUUCUGGAAACAGAACUUUCCUUCGGGACGCAGAGACAGGUGGUGCAUGGUUGUCGUCAGCUCGUGUCGUGAGAUGUUGGGUUAAGUCCCGCAACGAGCGCAACCCUUAUGGUCAGUUACUACGCAAGAGGACUCUGGCCAGACUGCCGUUGACAAAACGGAGGAAGGUGGGGAUGACGUCAAAUCAUCAUGCCCUUUAUGACUUGGGCUACACACGUACUACAAUGGCGUUAAACAAAGAGAAGCAAGACCGCGAGGUGGAGCAAAACUCAGAAACAACGUCCCAGUUCGGACUGCAGGCUGCAACUCGCCUGCACGAAGUCGGAAUUGCUAGUAAUCGCAGAUCAGCAUGCUGCGGUGAAUACGUUCCCGGGCCUUGUACACACCGCCCGUCACACCAUGAGAGCCGGGGGGACCCGAAGUCGGUAGUCUAACCGCAAGGAGGACGCCGCCGAAGGUAAAACUGGUGAUUGGGGUGAAGUCGAACAAGGUAGCCGUAGGAGAACCUGCGGCUG
This 1199-nucleotide ribosomal RNA is filed under the name metagenome. RNAcentral's name for it is "bacterial SSU rRNA". It matches the Rfam family "Bacterial small subunit ribosomal RNA", at positions 295 to 1520 of the family's 1533-position model. The record is from RNAcentral.